This 468-nucleotide ribosomal RNA is filed under the name uncultured bacterium. Its description in RNAcentral is "partial 16S ribosomal RNA". It matches the Rfam family "Bacterial small subunit ribosomal RNA", at positions 28 to 507 of the family's 1533-position model. The record is from RNAcentral.
GACGAACGCUGGCGGCGUGCUUAACACAUGCAAGUCGAGCGGACAGGCGAUGCUUUUGUUGCUUGCUCGUUAGCCGAACAGGUGAGUAACACGUGUGUAACCUCCCCCUGUCUUUCGGAUAACUUCUGGGAAAACGGGCUAUUACCCGAUAUAAUCUCCUGCUGCGUGGUGGUGGUUGGAAAAUGUCGGCGUUUGUGGAUGGACUCGAGGGUUAUCAGCUGGAUUGGGGGGUAGUGGCUUACCAAGGCUUUGACGGGUACCCGGCCUGAGAGGUGGACCGGCGACAGUGGGACUGAGGGACGGACCAGACGGCUACGGGAGGCAGAAGUGGGGAAUAUUGCACAAUGGGCGGAAGCCUGAUGCAGCAACGCCGCGUUCGGGAUAACGGCUUUCGGGUUGUAAACAGCUGUCGCCGGUGACGAACAGUGAGUGACGGUAAUGGGUAAAGAAGCACCGGCUAACUACGUG